This 66-nucleotide transfer RNA is filed under the name Bradyrhizobium elkanii. Its description in RNAcentral is "tRNA-OTHER". Lineage: Bacteria; Pseudomonadati; Pseudomonadota; Alphaproteobacteria; Hyphomicrobiales; Nitrobacteraceae. The record is from RNAcentral.
AGUCGCCCAUGACCCCGCCUGCUCAUAACGGUCUGGUUGCAGGUUCGAGUCCUGCCGGGCCCACCA